RNAcentral lists this ribosomal RNA (464 nucleotides) under uncultured bacterium. Its description in RNAcentral is "bacterial SSU rRNA". It matches the Rfam family "Bacterial small subunit ribosomal RNA", at positions 335 to 792 of the family's 1533-position model. The record is from RNAcentral.
ACUCCUACGGGAGGCAGCAGUGGGGAAUAUUGCACAAUGGGCGCAAGCCUGAUGCAGCCAUGCCGCGUGUAUGAAGAAGGCCUUCGGGUUGUAAAGUACUUUCAGCAGUGAGGAAGGUGGGUAGUGUUAAUAGCAUACUCAUUUGUACGUUAGCUGCAGAAGAAGCACCGGCUAACUCCGUGCCAGCAGCCGCGGUAAUACGGAGGGUGCGAGCGUUAAUCGGAAUUACUGGGCGUAAAGCGCAUGCAGGUGGUUUGUUAAGUCAGAUGUGAAAGCCCGGGGCUCAACCUCGGAAUUGCAUUUGAAACUGGCAAACUAGAGUACUGUAGAGGGGGUAGAAUUUCAGGUGUAGCGUGAAAUGCGUAGAGAUCUGAAGGAAUACCGGUGGCGAAGGCGGCCCCUGGACAGAUACUGACACUCAGAUGCGAAAGCGUGGGAGCAAACAGGAUUAGAUACCCCGUGUA